This 1040-nucleotide long non-coding RNA is filed under the name Monodelphis domestica (gray short-tailed opossum). RNAcentral's name for it is "lncRNA (ENSMODG00000041140.1)". Lineage: Eukaryota; Metazoa; Chordata; Mammalia; Didelphimorphia; Didelphidae. The record is from RNAcentral.
CUAGCCAUUUUGCUUUGUUUAAAGAGAAUAUGUUGGCCUGGGAUGAUAUCUAUUCAUUCACUAAAAUAUUGUUAGUGUAUGGGAAAUAAUUUUUUAGUUCUAGUUACUUUCCUGCUCACUAUCCUUUUAAUAGGAAAGGAAUGUCCCAAGAUAUUUCCAAAGGCAUGACUCCUUUUCCAAUCAUAUAGACCAUCACGCUAUUGGGAAUUGCAAAUAAUUUCUUUCAUACAACUGAAAGAAGAAGUCAGAGAAGUUAUGUUCCAAGCCUCUCUGUCUUCCUGAAAUUCUGAGACAUCUUGACUGUCCUUGGGCAGCUUCACUGGGUUUGACAGCUGAGAAAGAGACUAUUUAGGACUAGUUGACUAUGACUGAUUCCUGGAAAUGAGUAGUGGCCUCCUUAUGUGAUAAAUGGAAGCUGGGGUAAUGAAGCAGCUCUAUUCAAAGUGAUCAGUCACUGUAGCAUCUGAAUAGACCAAAAGGCAUAAGACAGAAGAUCUACAACUAAUUUGGGCCUGAUAUUAGCAUUUAUUUGGCAUGGAUGCAAGGGGAAGUUGGAAGGGAGGGAAAGGAAAACGGAUUUCUGUUGAAAAAGAAAACUUAAUAGAUAACAUUUACAUACUGUCUAUUAUGUUCCAGGAACUUUGAUUCUUACUUCAACUCUGAGAAGUGGGUGUUAUUUGUUAUAUGUUCUAUCCCCAUUUUACAGAGAAGGGAGCUGGGGUGGAGGGGAUAAAUUACUUUCCCAGGGUUACACAGCUAGUCAAUGUCUAAAGCUGGAUUUGAAUGAAGGAUUUCUGACUUCAGGCUGACACACUGGAUCCAUUGCACCAGGGGAAAGAUCUGAAGCCUGCUGCUACUGAUCUUAGUAUUAAGAUGAUAUUGAUCCCUGAAGCUCAGGAGUACAUGUCAGUUUGAACAUUGUUGGAAACAUAUUCCAUAGUUGUCUAGUUCUCAGGACACUGGCUACAUGAGGGUCAUGACGUGCCCAGCCCCAGAAAAGAUUUUUCUGUAUUCUCAGGAUUCCAUAUGGAAUCUCUAGA